This 266-nucleotide ribosomal RNA is filed under the name uncultured bacterium. Its description in RNAcentral is "partial 16S ribosomal RNA". It matches the Rfam family "Bacterial small subunit ribosomal RNA", at positions 92 to 354 of the family's 1533-position model. The record is from RNAcentral.
CGACCGGCGCACGGGUGAGUAACGCGUAUGCAACCUGCCCGUUUCAGCGGGAUAACCCGGAGAAAUCCGGCCUAAUACCGCAUGUGGCCGAGGGGAGGCAUCUUCUUUCGGCCAAAGGAGGCGACUCCGGAGACGGAUGGGCAUGCGUGACAUUAGCUUGUUGGCGGGGUAACGGCCCACCAAGGCGACGAUGCGUAGGGGUUCUGAGAGGAAGGUCCCCCACACUGGUACUGAGACACGGACCAGACUCCUACGGAAGGCAGCAG